GGACUACAAGGGUUUCUAAUCCCGUUUGCUCCCCUGGCUUUCGCGCCUCAGCGUCAGAAAAGGUCCAGCAGCGCGCUUUCGCCACCGGCGUUCCUUCCGAUAUCAACGCAUUUCACCGCUCCACCGGAAGUUCCCGCUGCCCCUGCCUCCCUCAAGACCACCAGUAUCCAGGGCUAUUUUCCGGUUAAGCCGAAAGAUUUCACCCCGGACUUGAUGACCCGCCUACGCGCCCUUUAAGCCCAGUGAUUCCGAACAACGUUUGCACGGUUCGUCUUACCGCGGCUGCUGGCAC
RNAcentral lists this ribosomal RNA (292 nucleotides) under uncultured Planctomycetota bacterium. RNAcentral describes it as "uncultured planctomycete partial 16S ribosomal RNA". The record is from RNAcentral. Lineage: Bacteria; Pseudomonadati; Planctomycetota.